GUUAAGAUGGCAGAGCCUGGCAAUUGCAUAAAAUUUAAAAUUUUAAAACCAGAGGUUCAACCCCUCUUCUUAACA
This 75-nucleotide transfer RNA is filed under the name Chlorocebus aethiops (grivet monkey). RNAcentral describes it as "tRNA-Leu". It matches the Rfam family "tRNA". Rfam says of the family: Transfer RNA (tRNA) molecules are approximately 80 nucleotides in length. Their secondary structure includes four short double-helical elements and three loops (D, anti-codon, and T loops). Further hydrogen bonds mediate the characteristic L-shaped molecular structure. tRNAs have two regions of fundamental functional importance: the anti-codon, which is responsible for specific mRNA codon recognition, and the 3' end, to which the tRNAs corresponding amino acid is attached (by aminoacyl-tRNA synthetases). tRNAs cope with the degeneracy of the genetic code in two manners: having more than one tRNA (with a specific anti-codon) for a particular amino acid; and 'wobble' base-pairing, i.e. permitting non-standard base-pairing at the 3rd anti-codon position. Lineage: Eukaryota; Metazoa; Chordata; Mammalia; Primates; Cercopithecidae. The record is from RNAcentral.